UACGUAGGGUGCAAGCGCUGUCCGGAAUUAUUGGGCGUUAAGAGCUCGUAGGCGGUUUGUUGCGUCGGCUGUGAAAUCCCGAGGCUCAACCUCGGGUCUGCAGUCGAUACGAGCAAACUAGAGUGUUGCAGGGGAGACUGGAAUUCCUGGUGUAGCGGUGAAAUGCGCAGAUAUCAGGAGGAACACCGGUGGCGAAGGCGGGUCUCUGGGCAACAACUGACGCUGAGGAGCGAAAGCGUGGGGAGCGAACAGG
RNAcentral lists this ribosomal RNA (253 nucleotides) under uncultured bacterium. Its description in RNAcentral is "partial 16S ribosomal RNA". It matches the Rfam family "Bacterial small subunit ribosomal RNA", at positions 524 to 776 of the family's 1533-position model. The record is from RNAcentral.